This 85-nucleotide ribosomal RNA is filed under the name Pseudomonas syringae pv. actinidiae. Lineage: Bacteria; Pseudomonadati; Pseudomonadota; Gammaproteobacteria; Pseudomonadales; Pseudomonadaceae. The record is from RNAcentral.
AUCCCAUCCCGAACUCAGCAGUGAAACGAUGUAUCGCCGGUGGUAGUGUGGGGUUUCCCCAUGUGAGAGUAGGUCAUCGUCAAGA